UCUAUUAAUCAAAGAAACCGGCGAUUAAUGCAGUGCUUGUGUGUGUCUUCAGGGUUCGACCCGUGGGAAGCUUCAGCGACUCCGACGCUUUAGACUUCGAUAGAAUGAAACAGGAAAUCUUGGAAGAAGUGGUUCGUGAACUGCACAAGGUGAAGGACGAGAUCAUUGAUGCCAUUAGACAUGAACUCAGUCGAAUCAGCACCACAUAGUGUCCAUCGAACCCCUGCGGAUCCUGCUGUAGCCAACGCCGGACGUUACAGCCGUAUUAAACGCUCGUUUUAACUCGUCUGCAACGUCGAGGAGCCCUGGGCGGAGAUGUGUUGAUGAAGGAAGGACACUUGCACUGAUUUUGGUGGCAGUCUUUUCAGAAACUGAAGAAAACAGAGCAAACAUCUGGAGUCCUUUUCAUUUGUCUGCAUUAUUGUUAUUAUUAUUGUUAUUAUAGGUAUAGUUGUAGUAGUAGUAGUAGUGUUUUCAUGUAGG
This is a long non-coding RNA of Sinocyclocheilus rhinocerous, 483 nucleotides long. RefSeq lists it as uncharacterized. The transcript is spliced from 3 exons. The record is from RefSeq and is a predicted model, not a curated record. NCBI's taxonomy places the organism in Eukaryota, Metazoa, Chordata, Actinopteri, Cypriniformes, Cyprinidae.